GACGGUACCUGAAGAAUAAGCACCGGCUAACUACGUGCCAGCAGCCGCGGUAAUACGUAGGGUGCAAGCGUUAAUCGGAAUUACUGGGCGUAAAGCGUGCGCAGGCGGCUUUGCAAGACAGAUGUGAAAUCCCCGGGCUUAACCUGGGAACUGCAUUUGUGACUGCAUGGCUAGAGUGCGGCAGAGGGGGAUGGAAUUCCGCGUGUAGCAGUGAAAUGCGUAGAUAUGCGGAGGAACACCGAUGGCGAAGGCAAUCCCCUGGGCCUGCACUGACGCUCAUGCACGAAAGCGUGGGGAGCAAACGGGAUUAGAUACCCUGGUAGUCCACGCCCUAAACGAUGUCAACUGGUUGUUGGACGGCUUGCUGUUCAGUAACGAAGCUAACGCGUGAAGUUGACCGCCUGGGGAGUACGGCCGCAAGGUUGAAACUCAAAGGAAUUGACGGGGACCCGCACAAGCGGUGGAUGAUGUGGUUUAAUUCGAUGCAACGCGAAAAACCUUACCUACCCUUGACAUGUCUGGAAUCCUGAAGAGAUUUGGGAGUGCUCGAAAGAGAACCAGAACACAGGUGCUGCAUGGCCGUCGUCAGCUCGUGUCGUGAGAUGUUGGGUUAAGUCCCGCAACGAGCGCAACCCUUAUCAUUAGUUGCUACGCAAGGGCACUCUAAUGAGACUGCCGGUGACAAACCGGAGGAAGGUGGGGAUGACGUCAGGUCAUCAUGGCCCUUAUGGGUAGGGCUACACACGUCAUACAAUGGCCGGUACAGAGGGCUGCCAACCCGCGAGGGGGAGCUAAUCUCAGAAAACCGGUCGUAGUCCGGAUCGCAGUCUGCAACUCGACUGCGUGAAGUCGGAAUCGCUAGUAAUCGCGGAUCAGCUUGCCGCGGUGAAUACGUUCCCGGGUCUUGUACACACCGCCCGUCACACCAUGGGAGCGGGUUCUGCCAGAAGUAGUUAGCCUAACCGCAAGGAGGGCGAUUACCACGGCAGGGUUCGUGACUGGGGUGAAGUCGUAACAAGGUAGCCGUA
RNAcentral lists this ribosomal RNA (1028 nucleotides) under uncultured bacterium. Its description in RNAcentral is "bacterial SSU rRNA". It matches the Rfam family "Bacterial small subunit ribosomal RNA", at positions 471 to 1504 of the family's 1533-position model. The record is from RNAcentral.